Molecule: small nuclear RNA, 169 nt
Organism: Alligator sinensis (Chinese alligator)
Lineage: Eukaryota; Metazoa; Chordata; Crocodylia; Alligatoridae
Product: U1 spliceosomal RNA
Exons: 1
Source: RefSeq, a predicted model, not a curated record
AAGCUUGCAUGGGAAGGUGCAUGACGCUGCCAGCCGAUCACGUGCAUUUAUCAAAAGAGGCCUGUCCCUUGUACUCCGGGCAGGCUCACCCCUGCGAGCUUCCUCAAAUGUGGGAAACUCAACUGCACAAUGUUGUGGAAAUGGGGGACUGUGUUCUCGCCUUCCUUGU